Long non-coding RNA from Dromaius novaehollandiae (emu), 1452 nucleotides. RefSeq lists it as uncharacterized. Lineage: Eukaryota; Metazoa; Chordata; Aves; Casuariiformes; Dromaiidae. The transcript has 3 exons. The record is from RefSeq and is a predicted model, not a curated record.
GGAGCCGGGAAGGCCUGGGGGUGCCCUCAGGGCCCUGACAAAAGGUUAAAUAAACAAAGUUAAAAAAAAGCAAAAGCCACGGCCAACAUGCCCUAAAUAUGCGGUAAAAUAUUCACGGAACUUACAGUAGAAGGGCUGAAGAGAAUACUGAGGCCAAAGGACAUCAUCAUGCUGUGCAAUUUAGCCAAAGGUGUUAUCAUGAACCUGCUGAAUUUACAUGUGUUUUGUUUACACUGCAGAAGAGGCAUAAUUUACCAACCAGACUGAAGGAAUUAAGGCAGCAUCCUGAAUAACAUCAUUCUUACCAUCAAACAUCAGUAUCAAAGCAGGGCAUUUGAAGACAUAAAAGCAGAAGGCAAUGACAUUAUCCUUGAAUCUUCAUGACUUUCCUAAAGGUGACUGUAUUGAAUAAGAACUGCUGAAAUGUUGUUGGCACUGUUUUAUACAUCCCAUCUGUUAGUCAUAAUAUUGCAUCAGCUAAUUAAUGCAUGUUACCUUGUGUAUAAAACAACAUGUACUCUGUUGAUUGCAGAGUCAACCCUAAAGUGUUUUUUGCUGGAGCUGGUUGGAAUUUUUUGUCAGAAAGGGUUUUUUUUCUCCAUGAAAAAUGCCAUUUUUAUUUAAAUCUCCCACAUUUGAAAAUAUAUAUAUUUUAUGGAAAUUCCUGCAAAAAACAUUUAUUUCAAAAUCAUGCAUUUUGCACUUUCUAGAAUGCUUUGUCUUAAAAAGUUUAAGAACUUUAUAAUGCUGCUUUAGCUUUUUUUUGUGCAGUACAUUUGAUCUAGCUGGUGGUGUGCUGCCACUGUCAUGUCAUAGUAUCAAUUGUCAAAAAUUGUAUUAUGACAUGACAGUAGCUAUGGUGCACAACUAAUUAAAUCUAAUAAAGUGUGUCACUUUUAGGUUUUUUAAAUCUUGAAGGGCAGCUGCUACUUAGUAGUGAAAAAAAUUUUUAGACUAAAAAGCCUACUCUUUGCAGUGAAACAGUUGAAUCAGUACUAAGCUCCUCUAAUUAUCUUGGAAUAAGUUUUUAGGUGAAUAUCACAUGUCAGUUGUCAUAAUUAAGAAAAGUCUAUUUGAUUCCUGAGACAGCAAGAUCGUUCAUCACUAGUGUAAAAUUAUAGUUACAACAGAUGUGUUGCUUAGAUCAAAUAUCAUUUCCUUUUGCAGAAAGGAAUAGAAGCAUGAGGAAAAACAGAUAAAAAAUAAAGUUCUUCUGUUAUGUCUUUCCUUUCUGGGUAACUAUUGGCUUCUAUAGUACUUCAGAUUUUUCUGACAGUCAGUUUUCUAGACACUAAAACACCGUAUAACUACAGCUAUAUCUCUUUGUCAGGCCAUUUACUUCAUCUUUCUUCUUGUACAGAUAUAGUAUAUGAAAUAGCCAUUGAGUCAUUGAAAUAGUCAUUUCUUAUAUGAAACUGUUGUUUAUAUGUAAAUAAAUAUGUUUUUAUAUAU